RNAcentral lists this ribosomal RNA (609 nucleotides) under uncultured bacterium. RNAcentral's name for it is "bacterial SSU rRNA". It matches the Rfam family "Bacterial small subunit ribosomal RNA", at positions 338 to 950 of the family's 1533-position model. The record is from RNAcentral.
CCUACGGGAGGCAGCAGUAAGGAAUAUUGGUCAAUGGACGAAAGUCUGAACCAGCCAUGCCGCGUGAAGGAUUAAGGCCCUCUGGGUUGUAAACUUCUUUUAUCUGGGACGAAAAAAGGGUAUUCUUACUCACUUGACGGUACCAGAGGAAUAAGCACCGGCUAACUCCGUGCCAGCAGCCGCGGUAAUACGGAGGGUGCAAGCGUUAUCCGGAUUUACUGGGUUUAAAGGGUGCGUAGGUGGGCUUGUAAGUCAGUGGUGAAAUCUCCGGGCUUAACCCGGAAACUGCCAUUGAUACUAUAGGUCUUGAAUUAUCUGGAGGUAAGCGGAAUAUGUCAUGUAGCGGUGAAAUGCUUAGAUAUGACAUAGAACACCAAUUGCGAAGGCAGCUUACUACGGAUAUAUUGACACUGAGGCACGAAAGCGUGGGGAUCAAACAGGAUUAGAUACCCUGGUAGUCCACGCCCUAAACGAUGGAUACUCGACAUCAGCGAUACACUGUUGGUGUCUGAGCGAAAGCAUUAAGUAUCCCACCUGGAAGUACGAUCGCAAGAUUGAAACUCAAAUGAAUUGACCGGNGNGAGAGAGCGAGACGACACGAGGAGGAGG